UUUCCGUAGGUGAACCUGCGGAAGGAUCAUUAUUGUAUAACCGAGGUGCGAGGGCUGUCGCUGACCCGAAAGGUCGUGCACGCCCGAGUGCCCUCACACACAUCCAUCUCACCCCUAUGUGCACCACCGCGUGGGCACCCUUCGGGAUCAUCUCGGAGGGGGGCUCGCGUUUUCACACAAACCCCCCUUUUAAAAGUGUAGAAUGACCACAUUUAUGCAAUCAAUACAACUUUCAACAACGGAUCUCUUGGCUCUC
RNAcentral lists this unclassified non-coding RNA (256 nucleotides) under plant metagenome. RNAcentral's name for it is "partial contains small subunit ribosomal RNA, internal transcribed spacer 1, and 5.8S ribosomal RNA". The record is from RNAcentral.